AGAGUUUGAUCCUGGCUCAGGAUGAACGCUAGCGGCAGGCCUAAUACAUGCAAGUCGAGGGGUAGCAAGAUUGUAGCAAUACAAUUGUUGACGACCGGCAAACGGGUGCGGAACACGUACACAACCUUCCUACAGGUGGGGAAUAGCCCAGAGAAAUUUGGAUUAAUACCCCGUAACAUAGCGAUGUGGCAUCACAUUGCUAUUAUAGCUUCGGCGCUUGUUGAUGGGUGUGCGGCUGAUUAGAUAGUUGGCGGGGUAACGGCCCACCAAGUCUACGAUCAGUAGCUGAUGUGAGAGCAUGAUCAGCCACACGGGCACUGAGACACGGGCCCGACUCCUACGGGAGGCAGCAGUAAGGAAUAUUGGACAAUGGACGCAAGUCUGAUCCAGCCAUGCCGCGUGAAGGAUUAAGGUCCUCUGGAUUGUAAACUUCUUUUAUAAGGGACGAAAAAAGGUCUUUCUAGAUCGUCUGACGGUACCUUAUGAAUAAGCACCGGCUAACUCCGUGCCAGCAGCCGCGGUAAUACGGAGGGUGCAAGCGUUAUCCGGAUUCACUGGGUUUAAAGGGUGCGUAGGCGGGCAGGUAAGUCAGUGGUGAAAUCCUAGAGCUUAACUCUAGAACUGCCAUUGAUACUAUCUGUCUUGAAUAUUGUGGAGGUAAGCGGAAUAUGUCAUGUAGCGGUGAAAUGCGUAGA
RNAcentral lists this ribosomal RNA (695 nucleotides) under uncultured bacterium. Its description in RNAcentral is "bacterial SSU rRNA". It matches the Rfam family "Bacterial small subunit ribosomal RNA", at positions 8 to 694 of the family's 1533-position model. The record is from RNAcentral.